Vicugna pacos (alpaca) is the source of this 2738-nucleotide non-coding RNA. NCBI's taxonomy places the organism in Eukaryota, Metazoa, Chordata, Mammalia, Artiodactyla, Camelidae. The record is from RefSeq and is a predicted model, not a curated record.
CUCAUAUUGAACGGACCAAUGGGAACUGAGGUUUCAGGUCGCCAUAGAGACCGAUGCUGUUAAGCGGGAGAGGGCCUGAAGAAGGUGGGGAAUGAGGUAGAAGGUAUCGCUGGCUUUGGGAGCGGGAGGGGUGGGGAAAAGAACUACUAGGGGAUUCCCGAGUGCUGGCUCUGAAAUCUGAGGCAGCUUUUGCUCUGCCUUCCUGUCAACCCCAGCUAUGCAUGAUAGGGUUUGUUCCUCGCGUCAAAGGCAGAACAGCUGAGCCCUUAUUCGAAUCCUUCAGAGCUUGGGAGUGGGCGUUUCACUUUUCCUGCGACUGAGGAGUCCCUGAGCCUCUGCCCUUUGACCUCUGACAUGUGUGCAGCUUCUGCUUCUUCAGAUACGGAAAACAUGAAUAAAACAGACCGACCCUUCAUGACAAUUCAGAGGAAUGACAGCUCAGAUAAUCUGGUAUUCCAUAUGAAAAACGGAAUAAGAAGCAUCAAGUAUAAACCAGUAGAUUAUCAACAAUUGUAUGCAUUAACUGAAGCAAAAAAAUUAGCUUCUGCCUCUACAGAGCUAAAGAUCAGAAAAGCAGUGCAGACUUCAAAGAUAUCUAAAGAACAAACACUAAUAAAGCAACACAAGCAAGUGUGGUGGCAGGAACACCAAAGACUAAAUGAAGUCAGAUGUAAAAUGGAAUGUGAAAUAAAAUCCUUUCUCAAUGAAGAGAACAUUGGAAAUGAAUUUCUUUCUGACCUUUUGAAUUUUGAACGAGAGUUAGCAGAACAAUGGUGCAUAUAUCUUGAAAAUGUGAUACAUCCUAUUCAGCAAUUGAGAGAAGAUCUAAAAUACAGACUGCAUCCCAUUUCACAGUGUUCACACUCACAGAGUGAGUUUAACUCUUUGAAAGUACUGGAAGAGGUUGACUCCGUGAAGAAACAAUUAAAAGCUGUCUUUGAAAGACUUAGUCUAGAGCAACAGAAAACAGAAAAAAAUCUUUCAGAAUGGAGUGUGCAAAUACUAGAUCAUUCUUCAGAAGAAGGAAUUAACCUACUUAGUGAACUGCCCAUGGAAUUUGAAACUUUGGAGUGUCCAUACUCAGAUUUGAAAUCUUCAAUCCUUAAUGAGUUCUGUAGCUUCACAGAGAAAUAUCAAAAGAAACUUCAAGAUUUUGAUCUGCAGUUAGAAGACAUAUACAGAAACUUCCAGUUAAGUGAUGAAGACCACUGGAUUUUCCAAGCUGUUUUGGAUCAGUAUCCUGGGGAUCUCUGUGGCAGAAGGACUCUGUAUCUGGACAUGUUACAAAGAUAUUUUCCUCGCAAAUCGAGGCAUGAUUUAGUCGAACAUGAGAAAUAUUGUGACCAGUAUCGCUUUGCUAAGGAGCAGCGAAGGAUCCUGAUAUCAAGUUGGAAUAAGAAUAGGAGAGACUUUAUACAGAAGGCUGUGCUGACACUCACCGAGGCCUGUGCAGCUCAUGAAAUGGAAAGCAUGAUGACUAAGGACAGGAAAAAGCAACAGGAAGUGUGUGCUGAUCUGAAAGCCAAGGUUCUUAAAUGGCGAGCCCAUCAGGAAGAGGUAGCAAGACUGGAAAUGGAAAUUUCUGUCAGAAGAAGAGAAAAGGAAGAAGAGAAAGAGAAACUGUGGAAGAAGAAGGAAUUGUUACAAAGAGAAGAGAAGGAAAAAAAGAUAAGAAAAUACUGGGCUGAGAAAGAAAAGAAAUGGCAAGAAAUGGAAAUGAGAGAUCUUCGGCGUCUGGAAGAACUGAAGAAAUUAAUGGCAGAACAGUCAGUAAAAGACAGAGAAAGGGUUAAAUACAGACAAGAAUUAUUGGAAAAGCGUUUGAUGGAGAAAAAAGAAGUGGCCCUUCAAGAAGCACUUGAAGAAGAAGAGAGAGAGAGGCGGCUAGCAGCCCUUAGGAAACAGGUUGCUAUUGUCGCUCAAUUUGAUCCUGUUAGAAUGAUGUCAGAUACAAUGGCAUCAAAAGCGAGGAUGGGUAUUGGAAUUGAAGAAGAAUUUAUUCUUCAAAAGCCACUCUUCACAUUGAAUACAUACAAUGAACAGCAGGAUGACGGAACAUGUAGCUUGGAGGCAAGGAAUAGAGGCCAUUUAUCUGUCUCUUACUCAAGCUUUCAGUCCUCUCAUACGUGGGAUGCCCAGCAGCCAGCUAGGAAAAUCAAUGGCUGUCAAAAUCACCUUUGGAAAGGACCUGAGAGGAGGGGCUGUCAAGAAGGCAGGAGAGAAGGAUGCGGGGCUCACCCUCUCCCAUGAAUCAAAAGUACAUCUACAUGUGGAACAAUUCUCACAGAAUACCUACUGAACUUCAAGAGGCUGAGAGAUUCUCUGGUCUUUGAAAAUUACUGGCUGUGUGACCUUGGCUCCUGCACCAUCCCGGCAACUCUCUCCUGGGAACUUCCUGUUUUCCAAUAUCCUUCAUGAAAUGUGCUGCCCAAAACUGAAGGCAAUAUUCAGCUGUUGACGAUGUGCAUUCUGGGUGAUGAGCACAAAGCACAGAGCGGGCAGGACACAAGGGAAGCACUCUGAUGAUAAUUGUGAUGAUUAUGAUCAUGACUGGCAUCCAAUAAUCUUUGCUUAAAACAAGCGGGAAAUUGUUUCCAAGAAAGAAAGCAAAUGUUUUAAAGUUUUAAAGAAAACCACAAGUGUAGGAAUUAGAACCGCCUGGAUUGCUGCAGACCUGGAAUCUAUUUUCUCUUUUAUUUCAUAACUUUUAAAAAAGUUUUUUAGGAGGGGAGGGGUGG